Molecule: transfer RNA, 199 nt
Filed under: Lejeunea eckloniana
Lineage: Eukaryota; Viridiplantae; Streptophyta; Jungermanniopsida; Porellales; Lejeuneaceae
Description: partial tRNA-Leu
Source: RNAcentral
UGCAUAAUACAAAAUAUAUUGGAAAUAAUAAAAACAUCUGAACACUAAAAUAUUCAUAUUAGUUUUUAAAUGACUUUUACUAGACGAGGAUAAAGAUAGAGUCCUUUUUUACAAUCUAUAUAUUUUUCUUUAUAGAUAUUGUAAAAAGAAAAUCCGCUGGCUUUAAUAGACCUUGAUGGUUCAAGUCCCUCUACCCCCA